UGAACAUCUAAGGGACUGAGUU
RNAcentral lists this small nuclear RNA (22 nucleotides) under Arabidopsis thaliana (thale cress). RNAcentral's name for it is "snRNA_07229". Lineage: Eukaryota; Viridiplantae; Streptophyta; Magnoliopsida; Brassicales; Brassicaceae. The record is from RNAcentral.